RNAcentral lists this ribosomal RNA (468 nucleotides) under uncultured bacterium. RNAcentral describes it as "partial 16S ribosomal RNA". It matches the Rfam family "Bacterial small subunit ribosomal RNA", at positions 28 to 507 of the family's 1533-position model. The record is from RNAcentral.
GACGAACGCUGGCGGCGUGCUUAACACAUGCAAGUCGAACGGAAAGGCCCUGCUUUUGUGGGGUGCUCGAGUGGCGAACGGGUGAGUAACACGUGAGUAACCUGCCCUUGACUUUGGGAUAACUUCAGGAAACUGGGGCUAAUACCGGAUAGGAGCUCCUGCUGCAUGGUGGGGGUUGGAAAGUUUCGGCGGUUGGGGAUGGACUCGCGGCUUAUCAGCUUGUUGGUGGGGUAGUGGCUUACCAAGGCUUUGACGGGUAGCCGGCCUGAGAGGGUGACCGGCCACAUUGGGACUGAGAUACGGCCCAGACUCCUACGGGAGGCAGCAGUGGGGAAUAUUGCACAAUGGGCGGAAGCCUGAUGUAGCCACGCCGCGUGCGGGAUGACGGCCUUCGGGUUGUAAACCGCUUUCGCCUGUGACGAAGCGUGAGUGACGGUAAUGGGUAAAGAAGCACCGGCUAACUACGUG